GCUGCUUGCGCAGCUGCUCCGUGCCAGGCUUGGAGGACCAGGAGAAGGGGUAGUCACUUGCCACAGCUGGAGGCUGGAGCGUGUGGCACCACGGCUCGCCUCGCUGUGGUGGGUGCUGGCGACAGAGACGGCAGCUCGGCUGGACUGCUCUGUUUUUACCCUUUCUCCGGGCUGUUAUUGUCAUACAAAUUACAUCUUUAUACAUGUUGUGCUGAACAACAAGUCGAUUUGUAGGUGUUUCUUUGUGAAGUUAUCCUCUAAAUCAGAUUUGCUGAGAUUUGUUUUGUGGCCUAACAUCUGAUCUACCCUGAAGACACUUCCAUGUGCUGAUGGGGAGAAUGCAUACUCUUCAACUGUUGAGUGGGAUGUUCUGUGAAUAUCUGGUAAAAAAACUGAGGCUUAGAAACAUUGAAAAAAACUUGCUCAACGUUGCAAAACAAGAAAUUUGUGACACUGGAAUUGACAUCUACAAGGGACUGAUGUAACUAAUUGCUGGAUACAUGUCCCUCAAAGACACAGAAACAGAUCUUGUAUUCUAGUGGAUCUCCGGCACCCAGUGAGGGCCUGAAACAGAGUACAUGUCCAACAAAUAAUUAUUGAAGUAAAGAUUGACAUUUCAGGAGCAGAGAUUAAUAUUCAAAAACAAAGAUGAGAAUUUUGGCAGAAAAGUCAAAAUGAGUCCAGGAAAUGUAUUUGUGGGCCAUCCUACAGAAGUUAUAAUGAAUGGAAAAACGUGAAGAACCUUCUAUUCUCCCAAGGAUAUCGUGAGGGAAUCGUCACUGUAUCUGGAAGCCAGAUGCCAAAGAUGUUCAGUUAUUAUCAAUGUAUCUAUGCAUAAAGGAUUGAAAAUGAUUCUUCAUGCCAUAAUUUAUCUAAAUAUUCAUUCCUUUGGAACACUGUUUUCCACCAAUAGUAACAAGACUUGGAACAAAAUAAAAUAGCAAUAUCAUGUGCAUUUUCUAUUUCUGCACUUUUCCACUUCUGGAAAUAGUCAUAGAAUCAUUUUGUGACAGAUUAAUAUCAUCCAUGAUCCUAAGUCACUAAGAAUAAGUGUUAGAUUCUUUGGGUUAAAUUGCC
RNAcentral lists this long non-coding RNA (1077 nucleotides) under Homo sapiens (human). RNAcentral describes it as "HSALNT0393189". The record is from RNAcentral. Lineage: Eukaryota; Metazoa; Chordata; Mammalia; Primates; Hominidae.